Molecule: ribosomal RNA, 253 nt
Filed under: uncultured bacterium
Lineage: Bacteria
Description: partial 16S ribosomal RNA
Rfam family: Bacterial small subunit ribosomal RNA
Source: RNAcentral
UACGGGGGGUGCAAGUGUUAAUCGGAAUUACUGGGCGUAAAGCGUGCGCAGGCGGUUUUAUAAGUCAGAUGUGAAAUCCCCGGGCUUAACCUGGGAACUGCAUUUGUGACUGGCGAGCUAGAGUAUGGCAGAGGGGGGUAGAAUUCCACGUGUAGCAGUGAAAUGCGUAGAGAUGUGGAGGAAUACCGAUGGCGAAGGCAGCCCCCUGGGCCAACACUGACGCUCAUGCACGAAAGCGUGGGGAGCAAACAGG